UACGGAGGGUGCGAGCGUUGUUCGGAAUCACUGGGCGUAAAGCGCGUGUAGGCGGCUUCUUAAGUCUGGUGUGAAAUCCCGGGGCUCACCCCCGGAAGUGCACUGGAUACUGGGAAGCUCGAGUACCGGAGAGGAGGGUGGAAUUCCUGGUGUAGCGGUGAAAUGCGUAGAUAUCAGGAGGAACACCUGUGGCGAAGGCGGCCCUCUGGACGGAUACUGACGCUGAGACGCGAAAGCGUGGGGAGCAAACAGG
This 253-nucleotide ribosomal RNA is filed under the name uncultured bacterium. RNAcentral describes it as "partial 16S ribosomal RNA". It matches the Rfam family "Bacterial small subunit ribosomal RNA", at positions 524 to 776 of the family's 1533-position model. The record is from RNAcentral.